UACAGAGGGUGCAAGCGUUAAUCGGAUUUACUGGGCGUAAAGCGUGCGUAGGCGGUUCAUUAAGUCGGUUGUGAAAUCCCUGGGCUUAACCUGGGAACUGCAGUCGAUACUGGUGAACUAGAGUGCGGUAGAGGGUGGCGGAACUCCGGGUGUAGCGGUGAAAUGCGUAGAUAUCCGGAAGAACACCGAUGGCGAAGGCAACCACCUGGGCCUGCACUGACGCUGAGGUACGAAAGCGUGGGGAGCAAAC
This 250-nucleotide ribosomal RNA is filed under the name uncultured bacterium. RNAcentral's name for it is "partial 16S ribosomal RNA". It matches the Rfam family "Bacterial small subunit ribosomal RNA", at positions 524 to 773 of the family's 1533-position model. The record is from RNAcentral.